GAUGAACGCUGGCGGCGUGCCUAAUACAUGCAAGUCGAGCGAACAGACGAGGAGCUUGCUCCUCUGACGUUAGCGGCGGACGGGUGAGUAACACGUGGAUAACCUACCUAUAAGACUGGGAUAACUUCGGGAAACCGGAGCUAAUACCGGAUAAUAUAGUGAACCGCAUGGUUCAAUAGUGAAAGACGGUUUUGCUGUCACUUAUAGAUGGAUCCGCGCCGCAUUAGCUAGUUGGUAAGGUAACGGCUUACCAAGGCGACGAUGCGUAGCCGACCUGGGAGGGUGAUCGGCCACACUGGAACUGAGACACGGUCCAGACUCCUACGGGAGGCAGCAGUAGGGAAUCUUCCGCAAUGGGCGAAAGCCUGACGGAGCAACGCCGCGUGAGUGAUGAAGGUCUUCGGAUCGUAAAACUCUGUUAUUAGGGAAGAACAAAUGUGUAAGUAACUAUGCACGUCUUGACGGUACCUAAUCAGAAAGCCACGGCUAGCUACGUG
Molecule: ribosomal RNA, 497 nt
Filed under: uncultured bacterium
Lineage: Bacteria
Description: partial 16S ribosomal RNA
Rfam family: Bacterial small subunit ribosomal RNA
Source: RNAcentral